GAUCUCAGUGUACGUAGCUCGUAGCUCGUAGCUCUUAUAGUUUCAUAUAUGUCUACUCAAAACAGAGAAAGCACAGGUCUGCCUAGAAGCGAUCUCAACCUAACUCUCAGUGUUUCAUCUGUGUUUUCUCAAACAGAGAAGGCACGCACAGGCCUGCUAGCAACAAUCUCAACUCAGUCUCUAUUCUCUAUCUUAUUUAAAUCUCAGAGAGUUCGCACAAACUCAUAUAGAUACUGCCAAGCACUUGUCAGAUGUUGAAUGGGACUGAGAAUUUAUUGAAUGGUUUAAAGAUAGGGUCGCACAAUUGCAUAAAGAAGACAAUAGUCAGCUCAUUGAAGAUCUUCUCUCACUUUCACGUGGUCCUACCAAAUAUUCAACACGUUCUACUGGUUACAUUGUUAAUAGAUAUAGGUUUCAUGUACAAGAUCAUGAUCAAAUGUUAAGGAUUCAAAAUUGUGGUGUUGUUGUAGUUGACGAGAGUGAUAAAGAUAGUGAGAACCUAGAUUACUAUGGAGUUUUAAUAGAUGUGAUUGAAUUGCAAUUUGUCCCGGAUAGAAGAGUGAUUUUGUUCCGGUGUAACUGAUUUGAUGUGUAUGAUAAAAUAAAACAAGUUAAAAGAGAUGAGUAUGACUUCGUGACUGUGAAUCCGAGUAGAUUUUUGAAAACGAAUGAGCCUUUUGUUUUGGCAAACCAAGCAUCUCAACUGUUUUAUGCUAAUGAUAAUGCCAACAAAGGUUGGCAUGUAGUGACACAGACUCAACCUCGUGAUUUCUAUGAGAUUGUGAAACAAAUGGAUGAUGAUGUUGUAGACGACUUAGAAAAUACUUCACAAAAGAAAUGAAAAAGAACUGACGAGAUGAAGUAAUAUAUUCGUCGUUACCCAUUCUUACAGGUUUAAUAUGAAGACUGAAUAUAAGGAUGGAUCAAUUACGAAGAAUACUAUCAGAUAUUCAUUUGUCGCGCCUGGUGCAAUUGGAAAGGGACGAGGAUGAGGGCUUAAAUCUUUGAUAGAAGCCAGAGUCGAUGCGCAGGAUAGAAGAGCUUAGGCCCACUUCUAUGUAGCUCUAGCUAGAGUAGAGGCUGAGGCCUUGGAUGGUGUGAUCACAGGUCUGAGUACUAGCUACCGGCAUUGAUUCGAGCCAACCGCGGUCGUGAUUUGAGGCAAGGGAGAGCAUAUUGUGUCUUGGAUUUACAUGUCUCCCUCUAUAUAUACAUUUUGCCUGUCUUUUGCUUUUGAGACAACUAUGUUUCCGGGGUCCACUUUUGGAACUUUUACUCUUUUUACUAGUAGCUCUGUACAUGCGACUUCUAGGU
Solanum dulcamara is the source of this 1314-nucleotide long non-coding RNA. RefSeq lists it as uncharacterized. Lineage: Eukaryota; Viridiplantae; Streptophyta; Magnoliopsida; Solanales; Solanaceae. The transcript has 5 exons. The record is from RefSeq and is a predicted model, not a curated record.